RNAcentral lists this ribosomal RNA (388 nucleotides) under uncultured bacterium. Its description in RNAcentral is "partial 16S ribosomal RNA". It matches the Rfam family "Bacterial small subunit ribosomal RNA", at positions 523 to 918 of the family's 1533-position model. The record is from RNAcentral.
AUACGUAGGUGGCAAGCGUUAUCCGGAAUUAUUGGGCGUAAAGAGUGAGCAGGCGGUUAAUUAAGUCUGAGGUUAAAGCGUGGGGCUCAACCCCAUAAAGCCUUGGAAACUGAUUGACUAGAGUAAGGGAGAAGUGAAGGGAACUCCAUGUGUAGCGGUGAAAUGCGUAGAUAUAUGGAAGAACACCAGUGGCGAAGGCGCUCCACUAGCCCGAAACUUACGCUCAGUCACGAAAGCGUGGGUAGCAAAUAGGAUUAGAUACCCUAGUAGUCCACGCUGUAAACGAUGACAACUAAAUAUUGCCGCGAGGCAGUGUUGAAGCUAACGCAUUAAGUUGUCCGCCUGGGGAGUACGGUCGCAAGACUGAAACUUAAAGGAAUUGACGGGU